CCGCCAUCUUUCUCUGCAAAAUUCUCAAGCUUCCACUGCACUUCGUUACUCUCUCCCUCUUCAGGCUUUCCUCUAGGGUUUUCGGGCUCCACCCUCCACCACCAGCUCUCCAUUUCCGUUCGCAUUUGCCGCCACCGUCGCUUCCGUACGCUCCCUCGCGGCUUGCCCCAGUAGCUGGUGGCUACUUUUUCGGCUGCUCCCGGAGCUUUUUCAGCUAUGGAGACCGACGAAGGGUCGCGGCACGUGCUUCCCUUUCAGCUUCAGUUUGACAAGCCGCUGGCUUCUCAGGUGAAGAUGGCGGAGUGGAAUCCAGAGAAGGAUUUGCUGGCGAUGGUCACGGAGGACUCGAAGGUGGUGCUUCAUCGCUUUCAAUUGGCGGAGGCUGUGGACAAUCUCUCCUUGCUAGUAGAGUGCAGCUUGUGUUUUGGUUGCAAGAAAGCGGGCCCUAGUCUACAUACUGGAUGACGAUGAAGAUGAAAUCUCUGAUUCAGAAUGAACGUCUGUUCGUGAAUUUUUGGUGGUAAUGCUCAUGUUGCUCGUGGGUGGACCUCUAAUACUCGAAGCUGCAGGAGGCAUCAGAGUGAGAAGCAAUGCGGGGGCUUUCCGAUUGAAGCUCUUCGGCUCCACCCUUUUCGAAGAGUUUUAAUUUAUGCCUACCAUGAACCUUUUCCGCUAGGCGGGCAUUCAUCGAAGAGAAAAUGUGGAGUAAAAGCUAACUAUUUAUCUAUUUAGUUAGAUGGAAUCGGCUGAAAUAUACUGACCCAUGGCUUCUAUCUAGGGGGUUAACUGUCUUCAUUGUAUUUCUGCAAGCUUUGAUAGCUCUUUGAUAGUGCCCAGCUUAUGCUUCAUGCGUUAUUGUUUAUUAUUUCCAUAUAUAAGAUAACCAAAUGUCUGCUUUGGAUUGUUUAUACUUUGGUUGGAUGGUUUACAUGGUGUAAUUGACCGAUACACUUCACAUA
Molecule: RNA transcript, 959 nt
Organism: Eucalyptus grandis
Lineage: Eukaryota; Viridiplantae; Streptophyta; Magnoliopsida; Myrtales; Myrtaceae
Exons: 4
Source: RefSeq, a predicted model, not a curated record